Equus asinus (donkey) is the source of this 3381-nucleotide long non-coding RNA. The record is from Ensembl. Lineage: Eukaryota; Metazoa; Chordata; Mammalia; Perissodactyla; Equidae.
UUUCCUUUUAUUGAACCUCACCAUUUCUGGCAUCUCAACUUUCCCUACACUGUACUUCCAAUUGAGCCUGUCUUCUUUAGCCAGCAAGAGAACUAUCGGAAUCACUCUCAGCUGCUCAAGCCAGCAUCACUAGUUCCAGAAUCGUUGGAAGUUCAGCCUAGAGUUAACAUCUGCCACCAAUCCUCUUUUUGCUGAAGAAGACUGGCCCUGAGCUAACAUGCAUGACCAUCUUCCUCUACUUUAUAUGUGAGAUGUGCCACAGCAUAGCUUGACAAGUGGUGUGUAGGUCUGCACCCAGGAUCCGAAUUGGCGAAUGCUGGGCUGCUGCAGCGGACCACGCGAACUUAACCACUGUGCCACCAGGCCAGCCUUGUCAUUUAUUUUUUCAUUGUUUUUUCAAUAUUUUAUUAUGAGAAUUUGUAAACAUACAGCGAAGUUGAAGUUUUAUGUUUUUAUGAUAAUAUUUUACAUACAUCCCCAGCAUAGAUUCUACAAUUGAUCUUUUACUGCAUUUACUUUAUCACAGACCUGUCUAUUCAUUCAGCCAUUUGUCACAUCAAUCCAUCUUUUAGGUGUGUGUAUUUCUGCCAGAUAUUUUAGAUUCUGACAAUUUUGCCCCAUAGCAUAAGAGGAAAUAAAACCAGAUUUGCUGCAAAGAAACAAAGAAAGAGAAUCAUGCUGGAUUUUAAAAUUCAAGUCUUAUAGAUGUGUGGGGAAGGGGCACAUUUAAGAAAAUAAUGGAGGGUAAAAAAAUUAGCUAGCAACUUAGGAACUAGAGGAAGUCCUUUGACAUUAUGAAGUGUGUCAAAAAGAUCACUGCAUUCCCAAAGAUUGCCAAACAAUUGCACGGAAAGAAGCUAAAGGUAAAGGAACUAUGGCCCAAGGAAUGCACGAUUUCAGGGAUCUGAAGAGAAUGGAAGAGCGUCUGCCAGUUUUGGAUGCCAGGAGCAUGUCUCCAAAAGGAUAGUAUCAGAAGAACCUGGAACUGUGUGCCCAUUUCCAGGAACGUCUCCCAAGCACAGAACAGGGAAUGCUGCGAUACCACAUUUUAAUCGUCUAUUCCCCUAAUGCAAAGAAUGAGGCAACAAAUGUCCCUUAACAUUUCUCUUUGUCUGUGAGUGUGAGCUUCUCCAAGAGAGUGGUCUUUGUGCUAGUUCUCUAGGGCUCCUGUAAGAAAGUACCACAGGCCGGAUGGCUGAAACAACUCGAAUUUAUUUCUCCCAGUUCUGGAGGCUAGAAUUUUGAGAUCAAGGUGUUGGCAGGGAUGGUUCCUUCUGAGGAUUGUGAGGGAGAGUCUGUUCCAGGCUUCCCUUGGCUUGUAGAUAGCUGUCUUCUCAUUGUGUCUCUACAUUGUCUUUCCUCUGUCUCUGUGUCCAAAUUUCCCUUUUUAUAAGAACACCAAAUGUAUUGGAUUAGGGCCCACCCUAAUGACCUUAUUUUAACUUGAUUACAUCCGGAAAGGGCCUAUCUCCAAAUUCAGUCACAUUCUGAGGUACUGGGGUUGAGACUUCAAUGCGUGAAUGUUGGAGCAGACAAAAUACAACCCGUAGUCUUCAAAUUUAUUUCUUGCAUAACCCGAAAAAGAAUUUGGAAAAACUGUGUACCCUUCACACAGUUUAAUAUUGACACUUAACAAUUUAAAUCAUAGAUUUAAACAGUUCCAAAGGAUAAAAUUUUUGUCGUGUAAAUAUUGAUGUCAAAAUUUGGCGUCAAAAUAAAACGGUUACUCUUUUAAGGGUGUCCAAAGGAAUCUAAAUACCAUAACAAUUUGAUUCAAUAAUUAUAAUCUAUUUAAAAAUGCCUGCGUAAUUUCCAAUGGAAAUUUUAUAUCUUUCCUUUUUUUGCUUUCCAUUCCAAUUCUCCCACAGAAUUUUACCUUCAUGUAACAUAUUUUAAUACCAGAAAGUCUCUUUUUUGACCACCCCAUUAUGCUUCUCUUUGACAAAACUGUGCAUGGAAAUUGAAAUUUUGAAAUAUGUUUUAUUUCUUGGGAUCAUAAGGUUGUAAGUGUUAUUUAAACUUCCUUCUAGGUUGAGUUGUUGCCAUUGUUAUUGUUAAAUGAUGAUCAAGACAAUGAAACUACUUUAUAAAAUUAUUAUUUUGUAAUUUAUUAAACAGAAAAAAUAAGAUUUUAUUGAAAAUGUUUCUCUUGCAAUGAUACAAAUGAUGUCCCUCCCUCCAAUUAGCUCACGUAUCCAUUGACGAAUGACUUAAUGUUAGAACCGUGCAGAUUCUGUGUGAAGUUUAUCCCUGCCCUCACCCCUUUAUAGAAGUAACUGCUGAGAAAACUUAUUCAUAGUAAUAAAUAAAUGGGAAUGAAAGGUGUUUAUUAUAGCAAUUUCAUCCAAUUCUUUGAGUUCUACCCAAAUUCUAUGCCAAAUAUCACCUGGAAAUUUAUUAUAAAAAUUAUUUUUAGUACUCUCUCUGCUAAAAAUUCUAUUAAAUUCUUCUUUUAGUGAAAGUUGAAAACCACCCAACACACAAAAGACCUGUUACCCAGUUAUGAGAGUGACUCAGAGCCUCAAGUUCUGGGAGGCACACCUGACUUACCAAACAGCUCUUAGUUCCCUGUGUUGCUCUUUCACUAAAGCACCUUGUUUAGAACAGGUUUCUGAACUCAGGAGCAAUGUUCUGAAGGAAGAUGUGGGAUGAUGUGGAAAGGGCACAGGCAGGCUCUUAGGUCAGCCUGGUAAAACUCUCCGUGCUCGCGGACCCUUUGCAUAGCCCUGGUGUGAAGACCGUCAGAUUCUUGGACAUUCACGUGUUCAAUUUUAAUGCAUGCUGCCAAAUUGCCCUUCAAGGUUUUCGUGCCAAUGUACACCUCCAGCACCUGUGUACCUGUGUAUGAGCAUUCCCGUCACUCUAGACACUUGCCAACGUUUGCUAUCACCUGACUUUGAAGUUUUUGCCUACUUGGCAGAUGAGAAAUGUCAUUUCACAGAUUUUACUUUACAUUUUCCAAGUUAUUAAUGAGUUUGGGCUUAUAUGGUUGAUGGCUAUUUGAAUUUCUACUGCAGUGAAUUGCCUUUUAUUUCUUUUCCUUGUGUUUUUUGUUUUUGUUUUAAGAAGAUUAGCCCUAAGCUAACAUCUGCUGCCAAAUGCUAAUCCUCCUCUUUUUGCUGAGGAAUGUUGGCCCUGAGCUAACAUCCAUGCCCAUCUUCCUCUAUUUUAUAUGUAGGACUCCUGCCAGCGCAUGGCUUGAUGAGCGGUGCGUAGGUCCAUGCUCAGGAUCCGAACUGGCGAACUCCAGGCCACCGAAGUGGAAUGUGUGAACUUAACCACUAUGCCACUGGGCUGGCCCCUCUUUUCCUCAUUUUUUCAUGUCAUUUUUUAAAAUUUAAUUUUGAUGUUUUUAUUUGCUACUCCUUCGUCUGUUUUCUA